Molecule: ribosomal RNA, 290 nt
Filed under: Vibrio parahaemolyticus
Lineage: Bacteria; Pseudomonadati; Pseudomonadota; Gammaproteobacteria; Vibrionales; Vibrionaceae
Description: partial 23S ribosomal RNA
Rfam family: Bacterial large subunit ribosomal RNA
Source: RNAcentral
AGAUUGAAGGGGGCUGCUCCUAGUACGAGAGGACCGGAGUGGACGAACCUCUGGUGUUCGGGUUGUGUCGCCAGACGCAUUGCCCGGUAGCUAAGUUCGGAAUCGAUAACCGCUGAAAGCAUCUAAGCGGGAAGCGAGCCCUGAGAUGAGUCUUCCCUGAUACUUUAAGUAUCCUAAAGGGUUGUCGGAGACUACGACGUUGAUAGGUCAGGUGUGUAAGUGCUGUGAGGCAUUGAGCUAACUGAUACUAAUUGCCCGUGAGGCUUAACCAUACAACACCCAAGGGGUUU